GAAUUUUAUAGUUAAUUAAUGUAUAAUAUACCAAACAUAAAGAUUCAUAUAAAUAAAUCCUGUUCAUGAAAUCAAACAAAUAAUUUCAUGUUCCCAUCUCAAACAACAAAUUUCAAAUAUAAACUGAUUGAGCUAUUAGUUCAAUGAUGAAAUACCUAUCUUAUAAGACAUGAAAUCAGAGAUCUAAAUAUCAUAUAAAACCUA
RNAcentral lists this unclassified non-coding RNA (204 nucleotides) under Hevea brasiliensis (rubber tree). Lineage: Eukaryota; Viridiplantae; Streptophyta; Magnoliopsida; Malpighiales; Euphorbiaceae. The record is from RNAcentral.